Unclassified non-coding RNA from Macaca mulatta (Rhesus monkey), 147 nucleotides. It matches the Rfam family "Metazoan signal recognition particle RNA". From Rfam's summary of the family: The signal recognition particle (SRP) is a universally conserved ribonucleoprotein. It is involved in the co-translational targeting of proteins to membranes. The record is from Ensembl. NCBI's taxonomy places the organism in Eukaryota, Metazoa, Chordata, Mammalia, Primates, Cercopithecidae.
GCUGGGCAUGGUGGCGUAUGUCUGUAAUCUCAGCUACUUGGGAGGCUGAGGCAGAAGAAUCGCUUGAGCCAGGGAAUCGGAGGUUGCAGUGAGCCAAGAUUGUGCCACUGCACUCCAGCCUGGCAAAAGAGCGAGACUCUGUCUCAA